Molecule: microRNA precursor, 94 nt
Filed under: Canis lupus familiaris (dog)
Lineage: Eukaryota; Metazoa; Chordata; Mammalia; Carnivora; Canidae
Also listed under: 1 other name
Description: mir-8799 microRNA precursor family
Rfam family: mir-8799 microRNA precursor family
Source: Rfam by way of RNAcentral
GGGAGGAAUGCAGGAUCCUGGGCUGUGUCCCUCGGCGCCCUGGGAUCUGGGGCCUGCGCUGCUGGAAUCAUGCUCCCGGGGUGCGCAGCCCCUU